RNAcentral lists this ribosomal RNA (497 nucleotides) under uncultured bacterium. RNAcentral's name for it is "partial 16S ribosomal RNA". It matches the Rfam family "Bacterial small subunit ribosomal RNA", at positions 28 to 507 of the family's 1533-position model. The record is from RNAcentral.
GAUGAACGCUGGCGGCGUGCCUAAUACAUGCAAGUCGAGCGAACGGACGAGAAGCUUGCUUUUCUGAUGUUAGCGGCGGACGGGUGAGUAACACGUGGAUAACCUACCUAUAAGACUGGGAUAACUUCGGGAAACCGGAGCUAAUACCGGAUAAUAUUUUGAACCGCAUGGUUCAAAAGUGAAAGACGGUCUUGCUGUCACUUAUAGAUGGAUCCGCGCUGCAUUAGCUAGUUGGUAAGGUAACGGCUUACCAAGGCAACGAUGCAUAGCCGACCUGAGAGGGUGAUCGGCCACACUGGAACUGAGACACGGUCCAGACUCCUACGGGAGGCAGCAGUAGGGAAUCGUACGCAAUGGGCGAAAGCCUGACGGAGCAACGCCGCGUGAGUGAUGAAGGUCUUCGGAUCGUAAAACUCUGUUAUUAGGGAAGAACAUAUGUGUAAGUAACUGUGCACAUCUUGACGGUACCUAAUCAGAAAGCCACGGCUAACUACGUG